RNAcentral lists this ribosomal RNA (1118 nucleotides) under secondary symbiont of Schizolachnus pineti. RNAcentral's name for it is "bacterial SSU rRNA". It matches the Rfam family "Bacterial small subunit ribosomal RNA", at positions 347 to 1458 of the family's 1533-position model. The record is from RNAcentral. Lineage: Bacteria; Pseudomonadati; Pseudomonadota; Gammaproteobacteria; Enterobacterales; Yersiniaceae.
GGCAGCAGUGGGGAAUAUUGCACAAUGGGGGAAACCCUGAUGCAGCCAUGCCGCGUGUGUGAAGAAGGCCUUCGGGUUGUAAAGCACUUUCAGCGGGGAAGAAGGCACUAGUGUAAAUAGCACUAUUGAUUGACGUUACCCGCAGAAGAAGCACCGGGCUAACUCCGUGCCAGCAGCCGCGGUAAUACGGAGGGUGCAAGCGUUAAUCGGAAUUACUGGGCGUAAAGCGUACGUAGGCGGUUUGUUAAGUUAGAUGUGAAAUCCCCGGGCUUAACCUGGGAACUGCAUUUAAAACUGGCAAGCUAGAGUCUCGUAGAGGGGGGUAGAAUUCCAGGUGUAGCGGUGAAAUGCGUAGAUAUCUGGAGGAAUACCAGUGGCGAAGGCGGCCCCCUGGACGAAGACUGACGCUGAGGUACGAAAGCGUGGGGAGCAAACAGGAUUAGAUACCCCGGUAGUCCACGCCGUAAACGAUGUCGAUUUGAAGGUUGUAGCCUUGGGCUGUGGCUUUCGGAGCUAACGUGUUAAAUCGACCGCCUGGGGAGUACGACCGCAAGGUUAAAACUCAAAUGAAUUGACGGGGGCCCGCACAAGCGGUGGAGCAUGUGGUUUAAUUCGAUGCAACGCGAAAAACCUUACCUACUCUUGACAUCUAGAGAAUUUGGCAGAGAUGCCGAAGUGCCUUCGGGAACUCUAAGACAGGUGCUGCAUGGCUGUCGUCAGCUCGUGUUGUGAAAUGUUGGGUUAAGUCCCGCAACGAGCGCAACCCUUAUCCUUUGUUGCCAGCGACUAGGUCGGGAACUCAAAGGAGACUGCCGGUGAUAAACCGGAGGAAGGUGGGGAUGACGUCAAGUCAUCAUGGCCCUUACGAGUAGGGCUACACACGUGCUACAAUGGCGUAUACAAAGAGAAGCGAACUUGUAAGAGUCAGCGGACCUCAUAAAGUGCGUCGUAGUCCGGAUUGGAGUCUGCAACUCGACUCCAUGAAGUCGGAAUCGCUAGUAAUCGUGGAUCAGAAUGUCACGGUGAAUACGUUCCCGGGCCUUGUACACACCGCCCGUCACACCAUGGGAGUGGGUUGCAAAAGAAGCAGGUAGCUUAACCUUUGGAGGGCGCUUUAC